UACAGAGGUCCCAAGCGUUGUUCGGAUUCACUGGGCGUAAAGGGUGCGUAGGCGGUCGGGUAAGUCUGAUGUGAAAUCUCACAGCUUAACUGCGAAACUGCAUUGGAUACUAUCCGGCUUGAGGAAUGGAGGGGAGACUGGAAUACUUGGUGUAGCAGUGAAAUGCGUAGAUAUCAAGUGGAACACCAGUGGCGAAGGCGAGUCUCUGGACAUUUCCUGACGCUGAGGCACGAAAGCCAGGGGAGCAAACGGG
Molecule: ribosomal RNA, 253 nt
Filed under: uncultured bacterium
Lineage: Bacteria
Description: partial 16S ribosomal RNA
Rfam family: Bacterial small subunit ribosomal RNA
Source: RNAcentral